CCUACGGGAGGCAGCAGUGGGGAAUAUUGGGCAAUGGGCGCAAGCCUGACCCAGCAACGCCGCGUUAAGUAAGAAAGCCCUCGGGUUUUAAACUUCUUUUAUUCGUGACGACACAAAUGACGGUACCGAAUGAAUAAUCCACGCCUAACUACGUGCCAGCAGCCGCGGUAAUACGUAGGUGGCAAGCGUUAUCCGGAUUUACUGGGUGUAAAGGGCGUGUAGGCGGGAGAGCAAGUCAGACGUGAAAUUCCAGGGCUCAACACUGGAACUGCGUUUGAAACUGUUCUUCUUGAGUGAUGGAGAGGCAGGCGGAAUGCCGUGUGGAGCGGGGAAAUGCGUAGAGAUACGGAGGAACACCAGUGGCGAAGGCGGCCUGCUGGACAUUAACUGACGCUGAGGCGCGAAAGCGUGGGGAGCAAACAGGAUUAGAGACCCGUGUAGUC
This 443-nucleotide ribosomal RNA is filed under the name uncultured bacterium. Its description in RNAcentral is "partial 16S ribosomal RNA". It matches the Rfam family "Bacterial small subunit ribosomal RNA", at positions 338 to 795 of the family's 1533-position model. The record is from RNAcentral.